AAGGCACAAGGCACAGAGGAGGAGCUACGUGAAGGAACCACAGAUCUGGAAGAUUCCUUGUGGUGAGCUGCCUGGCCAUGCUCAGCGUUCUUGUCAUCAGCUUUGUCGUGAGUGACGGGAACUUGGCCUCGUCCUUUUUCUCCGCAUCUCGGUUUCUUCUGCUUCGACACGUCCUCAAGUUUUUUCAGGAGCAGCUGAAAAUCCUAGGAGGACAGACGUGAAAUACCGCCCCCAACACACAACUGUGCAAGGAUAGAUACCAGCUAAUUAUUGUGGAUAUGCUUUGUCAAGAUCAGAUAAACAGACUCUACAGCUACAUAUAGAACAAUUUCUGCUGAAGAAAACCUGAUGGGAAAGACUGGUACCUCACACAAGGUAUAAUCUCAACUAAGAACUGCAACUAAACUGAGACCCCAAACGCCUAGUUAAGAAAACCAAGUAGGAUCAAGUUAUAUGACAAGGCCAUAGUGAACUGAAUGUUUAUUUUUUAUUAAAGUUAUUUAUUUUCUUAUAUCAUAGCUCAUUUUUGUACAGUAGUUAAUUCCCCACCUCAAGUGCAGUCCUAUAAUUCUCCCCCAACUAUAGAAACCAAGAUUCAUCAUAGAAGAACACAGUCCUUUGUGUUCUUCCCUCUACCUUCCUUGCUGUAUAACUCAGACUUAUGGUGAC
This is a long non-coding RNA of Talpa occidentalis (Iberian mole), 669 nucleotides long. RefSeq lists it as uncharacterized. The transcript is spliced from 3 exons. The record is from RefSeq and is a predicted model, not a curated record. NCBI's taxonomy places the organism in Eukaryota, Metazoa, Chordata, Mammalia, Eulipotyphla, Talpidae.